This 633-nucleotide ribosomal RNA is filed under the name Triticum aestivum (bread wheat). Its description in RNAcentral is "partial small subunit ribosomal RNA". The record is from RNAcentral. Lineage: Eukaryota; Viridiplantae; Streptophyta; Magnoliopsida; Poales; Poaceae.
AUGGCCAGGAUGAUGUGCGGCCGCGCCGGCGAGCCGGCGGUGCGCAAGGGUCCGUGGACGCUGGAGGAGGACCUCAUCCUCGUCGGAUACAUCUCCCACCACGGGGAAGGCUCCUGGGACAACCUCGCACGCUCUGCUGGUCUGAACCGGAACGGGAAGAGCUGCAGGCUGCGGUGGCUCAACUACCUCAGGCCGGGGCUGCGGCGCGGCAGCAUCUCGCCGGAGGAGGACAUGGUCAUCCGGGAGCUCCACUCGAGGCUGGGGAACAAGUGGGCCGAGAUCGCCAAGCACCUCCCCGGUCGGACCGACAACGAGGUCAAGAACUACUGGAGGACCAAGGUACACAAGAAGGCGCCCGGGCACCAGAAGCAGCUUCCAGCCACGAGCGAGGCGACAUCGUCCGUGUCGGCGUCGACGAGCCACGCCAGCUCCACCGUCGGCGACGAGUACACGCAGACGAGCUUCCCUUACCCCGACCUGAGCUGGGUCGCCGCCGACCACCACGAAACGGUUGAUGUGGGCGCGUCGGCGACGCGCUUCUUCCCGUCUGAGUUCGGCGGUAACUUUUGGAACGUCCAAGACAAUUUUUGGGAGACUCUCCCGCUUUCAGACCCAGUGUACGAAGCACUCUAG